RNAcentral lists this ribosomal RNA (253 nucleotides) under uncultured bacterium. Its description in RNAcentral is "partial 16S ribosomal RNA". It matches the Rfam family "Bacterial small subunit ribosomal RNA", at positions 524 to 776 of the family's 1533-position model. The record is from RNAcentral.
GACAGAGGGUGCAAACGUUGUUCGGAAUUACUGGGCGUAAAGCGCGUGUAGGCGGCCAUGCAAGUCGGAUGUGAAAGCCCUCGGCUCAACCGGGGAAGUGCACUCGAAACUGCAAGGCUAGAGUCUCGGAGAGGAUCGUGGAAUUCUCGGUGUAGAGGUGAAAUUCGUAGAUAUCGAGAGGAACACCGGUGGCGAAGGCGGCGAUCUGGACGAUGACUGACGCUGAGGAGCGAAAGCAUGGGGAGCAAACAGG